This 1910-nucleotide ribosomal RNA is filed under the name human gut metagenome. RNAcentral's name for it is "bacterial LSU rRNA". It matches the Rfam family "Bacterial large subunit ribosomal RNA", at positions 3 to 2011 of the family's 2925-position model. The record is from RNAcentral.
UCAAGCUACAAAGAGCACAAGGGGAAUGCCUUGGCACCGAGAGCCGAAGAAGGACGUGACUAACUGCGAUAAGCUGCGGGGAGCCGUAAGUAGGCUUUGAUCCGCAGAUUUCCGAAUGGAGCAAUCCGGCAAGAGGAAAGUCUUGUCAUCAUAUACUGAAUACAUAGGUAUAUGAGGGGAACCGCCUGAACUGAAACAUCUAAGUAGGGCGAGGAAGAGAAAUCAACCGAGAUUCCGCUAGUAGUGGCGAGCGAACGCGGAAGAGGCCAAACCAAGAGUAGUAAUACUUUUGGGGUUUUGGACAGCGUACGGUAUUAACUGCGGUUAGUAGAAUGAAAUGGGAAGUUCAACCACAGAGCGUGAUAGUCGCGUACACGAAAACUAAAGUUAGCCAGCUGGAUCCAGAGUACCGCCGGACACGUGAAACCCGGUGGGAAGACGGGGGGACCACCCUCCAAGCCUAAAUACUACCCAGUGACCGAUAGCGUAUAGUACUGUGAAGGAACGGUGAAAAGAACCCCGGGAGGGGAGUGAAAGAGAACCUGAAACCCUGUGCCUACAAGCACCUAGAGCACGUCAAAGUGUGAUAGGGUACUUUUUGUAGAACGGUCCGGCGAGCGAUUGUAUGCAGCAAGGUUAAGGACUUAAGGUCUGGAGCCGAAGCGAAAGCGAGUUUGAAAAGGGCGUUAAGUUGCAUAUAAUGGGCCCGAAACCGGGUGACCUACCCAUGGUCAGGUUGAAGUGGAAGUAAAAUUCCAUGGAGGACCGAACCGACCUCCGUUGAAAAGGCGGCGGAUGAACUGUGGGUAGCGGAGAAAUUCCAAUCGAACCCGGAGAUAGCUGGUUCUCUCCGAAAUAGCUUUAGGGCUAGCCUUGAAAUAGAUUACCGGAGGUAAAGCACUGAAUUGGCUAGGGGCCGAGAGGUUACUGAACCUUAUCAAACUAAGAAUGCCGGAUAAUCGUUUUUCAGGAGUCAGACAGUGGGAGAUAAGUUUCAUUGUCAAAAGGGAAACAGCCCAGACCCACAGCUAAGGUCCCCAAGUAUAGUUAAGUGGAAAAGGAUGUGGAAUUGCACAGACAACCAGGAUGUUGGCUUAGAAGCAGCCACUCAUUAAAAGAGUGCGUAAUAGCUCACUGGUCGAGUGACUCUGCGCCGAAAAUUUAACGGGGCUAAACUAUACACCGAAGCUUGGGAUACAUCUAAUGUAUGGUAGGAGAGCGUUCUGUAUGGGGAGAAGUCGUAGCGAAAGCGGCGGUGGACUAUACAGAAGUGAGAAUGCCGGAAUAAGUAGCGAGAAUUAAGUGAGAAUCUUAAUGGCCGAAAGUCUAAGGUUUUUGGAGGAAGGUUCGUCCGCUCCAAGUAAGUCGGGAGCUAAGGUCAGGCCGAAAGGCGUAGCCGAUGCACAUACGGUUGAUAUUCCGUAACCAUCUGUAAUUUAAGCAAAGGGACACUUCAAAAGGGUGUGACCCGGGCGUUGGUUGACCCGGGCGUAAGGGACCGAAAUUAGAGUAGGGAAGCACACUUGGCUGAAGGCGAGAAAAGCUUUGCGUAUAGAAGCAGAUGCCCGUACCGCAAACCGACACAGGUGGACAGGAAGAGAAUUCUAAGGCCAGCGGGAGAAGGGUAGUUAAGGAACUCGGCAAAUUGACUCCGUAACUUCGGAAUAAGGAGUGCUCGAAAGAGCCGCAGAGAAUAGGCCCAGGCGACUGUUUAGCAAAAACACAGGUCUCUGCCAAAUCGAAAGAUGAAGUAUAGGGGCUGACACCUGCCCGGUGCCGGAAGGUUAAGAGGAGGAGUGAGAGCUCCGAAUUGAAGCCCCGGUAAACGGCGGCCGUAACUAUAACGGUCCUAAGGUAGCGAAAUUCCUUGUCGGGUAAGUUCCGACCCGCACGAAAGGCGUAAUGAUUUG